This 726-nucleotide ribosomal RNA is filed under the name uncultured crenarchaeote. Its description in RNAcentral is "bacterial SSU rRNA". It matches the Rfam family "Archaeal small subunit ribosomal RNA", at positions 764 to 1449 of the family's 1478-position model. The record is from RNAcentral. Lineage: Archaea; Thermoproteati; Thermoproteota.
CAGCUAGUGUUUGGGGGCCACGAGCCGCUCUAGUGCCGCAGGAAGCUGUUAAGCCUGCCGCCUGGGAGUACGGCCGCAAUGGCUGAAACUUAAAGGAAUUGGCGGGAGAGCACCACAAGGGGUAAAGCUUGCGGUUAAUUGGAGUCAACGCCGGAAAUCUCACCGGGAGCGACAUGCAGUAUAAGGCCAGAUUAAAUGGUCUUGCUAGACAAGCUGAGAGGAGGUGCAUUGGCCGUCGCCAGUUCGUGCCGUAGGUGUCCUGUUAGUCAGGAACGAUCGAGACCCGCGUCCUCUGUUGCUACUGGCUUUGUGCCAGGCACACUGUGGUGACCGCCGCUGCUAAAUGCGGAGGAAUGGUGCGGGCCACGGCAUGGUCAUGUAUGCCCCGAAUCUCCCGGGCCACAUCGCGAUGCUGCAAUGGCAUGGCACAAUGGGUUCCGACCUCGUAAUGGGGAAGGCAACUCCCAGAAUAGCCUGCCAGUAUGUCUAGAGGAUUCAGAGAGGUUAGAAACUCACCCUCAGUAGAACAUUGGAAUCCCCUAGUAAUUCGCAGUAGUCAUCUAGCAGCAGCAGGUAGAAUACAGUCCCUAGCUCCUUAGCACAUCACCGCCCAGUCAGUUCCACCCAGAAGUAGAUCUCUUAGAGGUAGAUGGCAGUAGGUCUUACUUGGCUGCGUCAGAAUCUAGAGUUUCGCAAUGGGGGGAAAUGUCGUAACAAUGGUAUGCC